GAUGAAGAACGCAGCGAAAUGCGAUACUUGGUGUGAAUUGCUGAAUCCCGUGAACCAUCAAGUUUUUGAACGCAAGUUGCGCCCGAAGCCAUUAGGCCGAGGGCACGCCUGCCUGGGUGUCACACAUUGUUGCCCCAAUGCCAAUCGCCUCACUUUGUAGGUAUUUGCUUGGGGUGAAUGUUGGCCUCCCGUGAGCUCUGUCUCACGGUUGGUUGGAAAUCGAGUGCAUGGUGUCGGGUGUACCAUGAUGGAUGGUGGUUGAGUGAUGCUCGAGGCCAAUCAUGGGUAACUCCACCAGAAUUGUGCUCGGUGACCCACAUCAAGUCAGGCGGGGCUACCCGCUGAGUUUAAGCAUAUCAAUAAGCGGAGGA
Molecule: unclassified non-coding RNA, 371 nt
Filed under: soil metagenome
Description: partial contains 5.8S ribosomal RNA, internal transcribed spacer 2, and large subunit ribosomal RNA
Rfam family: 5.8S ribosomal RNA (bases 1-122)
Source: RNAcentral